RNAcentral lists this non-coding RNA (29 nucleotides) under Mus musculus (house mouse). The record is from RNAcentral. Lineage: Eukaryota; Metazoa; Chordata; Mammalia; Rodentia; Muridae.
UCCCAGAUCUUAAGUGGUCUAAUGAUAUC